CAGCCGCCGCGGGAAUACAGAGGGUGCAAGCGUUAAUCGGAAUUACUGGGCGUAAAGCGCGCGUAGGUGGUUUUGUAAGACAGAGGUGAAAUCCCCGGGCUCAACCUGGGAACUGCCUUUGUGACUGCAAGGCUAGAGUACGGCAGAGGGGGAUGGAAUUCCGCGUGUAGCAGUGAAAUGCGUAGAUAUGCGGAGGAACACCGAUGGCGAAGGCAAUCCCCUGGGCCUGUACUGACGCUCAUGCACGAAAGCGUGGGGAGCAAACAGGAUUAGAUACCCCUGUAGUCCCUGUCUCUUAUAU
This 301-nucleotide ribosomal RNA is filed under the name uncultured bacterium. RNAcentral's name for it is "partial 16S ribosomal RNA". It matches the Rfam family "Bacterial small subunit ribosomal RNA", at positions 509 to 809 of the family's 1533-position model. The record is from RNAcentral.